Molecule: ribosomal RNA, 467 nt
Filed under: uncultured bacterium
Lineage: Bacteria
Description: partial 16S ribosomal RNA
Rfam family: Bacterial small subunit ribosomal RNA
Source: RNAcentral
GACGAACGCUGGCGGCGUGCUUAACACAUGCAAGUCGAACGGAAAGGCCCUGCUUUUGUGGGGUGCUCGAGUGGCGAACGGGUGAGUAACACGUGAGUAACCUGCCCUUGACUUUGGGAUAACUUCAGGAAACUGGGGCUAAUACCGGAUAGGAGCUCCUGCUGCAUGGUGGGGGUUGGAAAGUUUCGGCGGUUGGGGAUGGACUCGCGGCUUAUCAGCUUGUUGGUGGGGUAGUGGCUUACCAAGGCUUUGACGGGUAGCCGGCCUGAGAGGGUGACCGGCCACAUUGGGACUGAGAUACGGCCCAGACUCCUACGGGAGGCAGCAGUGGGGAAUAUGGCACAAUGGGCGGAAGCCUGAUGCAGCAACGCCGCGUGCGGGAUGACGGCCUUCGGGUUGUAAACCGCUUUCGCCUGUGACGAAGCGUGAGUGACGGUAAUGGUAAAGAAGCACCGGCUAACUACGUG